Molecule: long non-coding RNA, 532 nt
Filed under: Chinchilla lanigera (long-tailed chinchilla)
Lineage: Eukaryota; Metazoa; Chordata; Mammalia; Rodentia; Chinchillidae
Description: lncRNA (ENSCLAG00000025596.1)
Source: RNAcentral
GGGCUCCAUUCCUUCUCCCACCUCUCUUUACACAACCAAAGAAAUAUUGAUCUACUUUGGUACAGCACCUCACACUUUCAUCACAGAAAUACUCCUAACCAAGCAGCAUGACCUCUACCACACCACUGUGACGAUGAACACAGCUGACCAAGGUAGAUACAUUUUUCACUGAGGCGCGAUUUUUUUUUUGGUACCGAAAAUCAAACUCAGGACCUUGUGGAUGCCAGGCAGGUGCUGUGCUGCUGAGCUAUACCCGCAGCCUGGAUGUAUGAUUUUUAAGACUUUAUUCCUCACAACAUUCUGAGUUCUGGACUCCUAUUGUCAAGGAUUAGCAGAUUCUGCAAGAAACACAGGUAAAGUACGGUGUCCCAUCUGCAAUUCAGCCUGAACAAAUUCCUUUUUCUUGAUUGUAGAGUUCUUGGAAGCCAGAGUUCUCUUAGUAAAAUGUCUUUUGCAAAUCUCAUUUGUUACUUUCAAGACUGCAAAACUAUUACAUUAGAAUUUAAGAAUAAAGUUUGUAUUUGAAAAUGCA